Molecule: ribosomal RNA, 442 nt
Filed under: uncultured bacterium
Lineage: Bacteria
Description: bacterial SSU rRNA
Rfam family: Bacterial small subunit ribosomal RNA
Source: RNAcentral
AGAGUUUGAUCCUGGCUCAGAGCGAACGCUGGCGGCAGGCUUAACACAUGCAAGUCGAGCGGGCGUAGCAAUACGUCAGCGGCAGACGGGUGAGUAACGCGUGGGAACAUACCUUUUGGUUCGGAACAACACAGGGAAACUUGUGCUAAUACCGGAUAAGCCCUUACGGGGAAAGAUUUAUCGCCGAAAGAUUGGCCCGCGUUCUGAUUAGCUAGUUGGUGAGGUAACGGCUCACCAAGGCGACGAUCAGUAGCUGGUCUGAGAGGAUGAUCAGCCACAUUGGGACUGAGACACGGCCCAAACUCCUACGGGAGGCAGCAGUGGGGAAUAUUGGACAAUGGGCGCAAGCCUGAUCCAGCCAUGCCGCGUGAGUGAUGAAGGCCCUAGGGUUGUAAAGCUCUUUUGUGCGGGAAGAUGAUGACGGUACCGCAAGAAUAAGCCC